UACAGAGGUCUCAAGCGUUGUUCGGAAUCACUGGGCGUAAAGGGUGCGUAGGUGGCGUGGAAAGUCAGAUGUGAAAUUCGGGGGCUCAACCUCCGGACUGCAUCCGAUACUCCCAUGCUAGAGAACUGGAGGGGAGUCUGGAAUUCUCGGUGUAGCAGUGAAAGGCGUGGAUAUCGAGAGGAACACUAGUGGCGAAGGCGAGACUCUGGACAGUAUCUGACACUGAGGCACGAAGGCCAGGGUAGCGAACGGG
RNAcentral lists this ribosomal RNA (253 nucleotides) under uncultured bacterium. RNAcentral's name for it is "partial 16S ribosomal RNA". It matches the Rfam family "Bacterial small subunit ribosomal RNA", at positions 524 to 776 of the family's 1533-position model. The record is from RNAcentral.